CAACAAUCUUCUCCAGUUGGAGCAGUUGGACGGUUGACCACUGAAAGCCCUGACGCCCUACACUUCGGUGAAGCCCGUGAGACAAAGUGCAGCAUCCAGAAGUAGGAGGCCUCCUCGCGGUGGGCGACAUCGCCAUGCUGUCAACAGUACCAACACUGGCCCAGGGGUUUAUCCAGAUAGUCAGUCUCAAGGCUAACCACUGGUUCACGGGACCUCUUUGACUGUGGAGUGGCCAGCAGUCCAGAAGUAGAGAGGGGGCACAGAUUGUGGGCUGUUUGCUAUUGCUCUCUGCAGAGAUGAGGAACCCUCCAUGGCACGAUACGAUCAGAAAUCCAUGAGAAAACAUAUUUCCUCUUGUUUUCAGGCUGGUUACCUGGCGCCAUUACCCAGUCCCAAUUCCAUCCCGAUUCCAGCCAUGAGUGCACAAAAAUAAUAAUCUGUGAAAAUAAAUGAUGGACACUAUACCAAAAUGUUUAUGUAUUAAAAUCUGAAAUAUUGCCAGGUUGGUUUUCACAGCUGUUUCAUAGGAUGUUUAUUAUUGUAAAUUGUAAGGUGUCUUUUGGUGGUAUUUAUUUGUUCCACAUUAUUCAAUGUUGUAUCCUAGGACCAACAAUAGAUCCAUAUAUAUUCAACCACAAGGGUGUACCAAUGAGCCGUGCGAGAUAGAACAACAUGAAACAUAAUAGAGGGCUACUGAAAUGAUGUUAUGUCAGUGUAGACAAGGGAAGGGCAGGUAACAUAAA
This is a long non-coding RNA of Oncorhynchus kisutch (coho salmon), 743 nucleotides long. RefSeq lists it as uncharacterized. The transcript has 3 exons. The record is from RefSeq and is a predicted model, not a curated record. NCBI's taxonomy places the organism in Eukaryota, Metazoa, Chordata, Actinopteri, Salmoniformes, Salmonidae.